Molecule: ribosomal RNA, 587 nt
Filed under: uncultured bacterium
Lineage: Bacteria
Description: partial 16S ribosomal RNA
Rfam family: Bacterial small subunit ribosomal RNA
Source: RNAcentral
UGGGGAAUAUUGGACAAUGGGCGCAAGCCUGAUCCAGCAAUGCCGCGUGUGUGAAGAAGGCCUUCGGGUUGUAAAGCACUUUUAUCAGGAGCGAAACGCUGUCGGCUAAUACCCGGCGGAACUGACGGUACCUGAGGAAUAAGCACCGGCUAACUUCGUGCCAGCAGCCGCGGUAAUACGAAGGGUGCAAGCGUUAAUCGGAAUUACUGGGCGUAAAGCGUGCGUAGGCGGUUUCUUAAGUCUGCUGUGAAAUCCCCGGGCUCAACCUGGGAAUGGCAGUGGAUACUGGGAGGCUAGAGUGUGUCAGAGGGUGGUGGAAUUCCCGGUGUAGCGGUGAAAUGCGUAGAGAUCGGGAGGAACAUCAGUGGCGAAGGCGGCCACCUGGGACAACACUGACGCUGAGGCACGAAAGCGUGGGGAGCAAACAGGAUUAGAUACCCUGGUAGUCCACGCCCUAAAGCGAUGCGAACUGGAUGUUGGUCUCAACUCGGAGAUCAGUGUCGAAGCUAACGCGUUAAGUUCGCCGCCUGGGGAGUACGGUCGCAAGACUGAAACUCAAAGGAAUUGACGGGGUCAUAACUGUUUCC